This 207-nucleotide ribosomal RNA is filed under the name uncultured bacterium. Its description in RNAcentral is "partial 16S ribosomal RNA". It matches the Rfam family "Bacterial small subunit ribosomal RNA", at positions 568 to 774 of the family's 1533-position model. The record is from RNAcentral.
UCCGUAGGCGGUUUGUCGCAUCUCCUGUUAAAUCUCAAGGCUUAACCUUGAGGCCGCGGGAGAUAUGGGCAAACUAGAGGUUGGUAGAGGCAAGCGGAAUUGCUGGUGUAGGGGUUAAAUCCGUUAAUAUCAGCAGGAACACCAAAUGCGAAGGCAGCUUGCUGGAACAAACCUGACGCUAAGGGACGAAAGCGUGGGGAGCGAAGA